UAGUCCACGCCGUAAACGAUGGAUACUAGGUGUGUGGGAAGUUAACCUCCUGCGUACUGAAGUUAACGCAUUAAGUAUCCCGCCUGGGGAGUACGGUCGCAAGGCUAAAACUCAAAGGAAUUGACGGGGGCCCGCACAAGCGGUGGAGUAUGUGGUUUAAUUCGAAGCAACGCGCAGAACCUUACCUACCCUUGACAUCCCAGGACAACCUCAGAGAUGAGGCUUUUUCUUCGGAAACCUGGUGACAGAUGCUGCAGGGCUGUCGUCAGCUCGUGUCGUAAGAUGUUCGGUUAAGUCCGGUAACGAGCGCAACCCUUGUCUUUAGUUGCCAUCAUUAAGUUGGGCACUCUAGAGAGACUGCCGGUGUCAAACCGGAGGAAGGCGGGGGAUGAUGUCAAGUCCUCAUGGCUCUUACGGGUAGGGCUACACACGUACUACAAUGGCAGAAACAGACGGCUGCGAAACCGCGAGGUUAGGCUAAUCCGUAAAACACUGUCUCAGUCCGGAUUGGAGUCUGCAACUCGACUCCA
RNAcentral lists this ribosomal RNA (530 nucleotides) under uncultured bacterium. Its description in RNAcentral is "bacterial SSU rRNA". It matches the Rfam family "Bacterial small subunit ribosomal RNA", at positions 791 to 1320 of the family's 1533-position model. The record is from RNAcentral.